Molecule: long non-coding RNA, 215 nt
Filed under: Hordeum vulgare
Lineage: Eukaryota; Viridiplantae; Streptophyta; Magnoliopsida; Poales; Poaceae
Description: long non-coding RNA (HVUL_LNC020444)
Source: RNAcentral
CGGUUUGUGGUGCUGCGGCGGAGACGGGGCGGGACUGCUCGAAAAUGAAAGAAAAGAUGAAGAAGUCAAUGCAGAUCGAACGACGGGGCUGGCUGCAUCCACAACGGUCCAACAUUGGCUCCUACAAUGCCCAAAGAAAAAUAAGUGUACAUGAUUCAGGGAACCGACCACAAGUAUAUACUUAUACACGGGGAAUUUGAUGAUUUGCCACAUCU